This 242-nucleotide long non-coding RNA is filed under the name Hordeum vulgare. Its description in RNAcentral is "long non-coding RNA (HVUL_LNC006056)". The record is from RNAcentral. Lineage: Eukaryota; Viridiplantae; Streptophyta; Magnoliopsida; Poales; Poaceae.
ACAGGCUUGCACCCUACUUCAUUAUAAAUAAAGCAGCAAAACAUGUUUGCGCUCUGCUUUAUAGAUAAAGCAUCAAUCACGGUUCGUGGUCGAACGAUACAUAGUAAAGAGUUAAUCCUCUUACAAAGCGGAUCCUGGGAUCUAGGUACCACACAUAACUAUGCUACCGACGGAGAACAAGAGGAGAUUAGUGGACAACACCACGCCAUAUCCUAGCACUCACCUGGACUCCACGACAAUGC